AUCCAACAAAUGUGAGGUUUAAUAACUUGCUGAGUCAUCUGAGGCUUCUGUCUCAUUUCUAAUAAUAUCAGAAAAAUCCUAGUAAUCAAUUAGUAUAUUUUACAUGCAGGUACAUGAUGAACCAUCCAGUCUUUUCCACGGUUGACAAAUAGACAUGUAUACUUCUAAUAUUUCCAUAUUUUUACUCUAUUUCCAUAGGCUAAUGUGAACCAAAACCUUGGUUUCAUAUGAAUAAAAAGUAUCUCCUUCCUCUUGAGAUGUGACAAGGAUCAAAGUAUUGGGAAUAAUUCUACCAUCUCAUCCUCAAGAACCAGUAGGAAUUCUACCACCAGUAAGCAUUUUGUCCUGAAGAUAUUGACACUUCUCUCAAUACACUGUAGCACUCCUAUUACGUUAUGACUCUGCCUGUGCUUGUCAGCCAUGAAGCCAGAUCAUUAACUGUGAUGACUGGUCUCCAUGAUUAAAUACUAUGGUUUAGUGUGUCUCGGGGUGAAAUAAUCUGGGGUACUCAAUGUCUGUCAUAUAUGUCAGGAUCAAGAUUGUUUUUAAGUGUGCCUGGAACAAUGAUUCUAAUUGGAAUCUGAACAAAAUGAGUGAGAAAGUCACUUCUGUGAACUGAAGUCCAGCACAAGACACCAUACUAGGCAAAAAUGUGGAAGGGGUUCAGUUUGGUCAGCUGGUGUUACUAAUAGGCCUAUAGUAAUUGAAUUCUAUCCUGAUUGCAUACAUUAAGGAUAAUGAACUAUACAGAGAUCUAUCAAUUUCUGAUAUAGGAAUAACAUGACAACUCUUUGAGUGCCUGGCUGGCAGCAUCCAUAUAUUCAUAGUAACCAGACCCUGGAGAACCAGAAUGUGAGGAGAGAGACCAGUGAUUAUGCCUACCCUUGAGCCAUUCACACAUUUUUCUUACAUGCCAAAAUCUUCAGAGUGAGGAGAAGUUGAUUGAGAUCAACUAGGUAAUUAAUGUAAAGGAUAUGUGUGUUUACUGAUUUAUGUUUUAAGUAAAAGAAAUGUGUAAAUUGAAGAGUAGUUUAUAUUUGUCAAAACUUCUUAAAGCAUGUUUUAAUCUCCUUGCUGAUGAAAUCACAAGAAUUGCAACACAUUUUUCCCUCUGUCACCCUAAUAGACAUUUGGGCUGUGGACCUAAGUAGAUGCUGCACUAAACAUUUUUAAUUAUAAAAUGAUUACAUUUUUAAUUCUUGGUGUUUUAGAUAGAUUUUACUGCCUAAUAUUCAUAUUUUGUUAGUAAGCUUCAUAGUUAACAUUGAAGGGAACAUCCAGUUUUAUUAUUUAUUUAUUUUUGUUUUUUUGGGGGUUUUUUGGUCUCUUUUUUUAUUAUUAUAUGAAAUUUAUUGUCAAAUUAGUUUCCAUGCAACACCCAGUGCUCAUCCCAAAAGAUACCCUCUUCAGUACCCAUCACCUACACUACCCUCCCUCCCACCCCCCCAUCAACCCUCAGUUCUCAGUUGUUGUUUUUUUUUAACGUUUAUUUAUUUUUGAGACAGAGAGAGACAGAGCAUGAACGGGGGAGGGGCAGAGAGAGAGGGAGACACAGAAUCGGAAACAGGCUCCAGGCUCUGAGCCAUCAGCCCAGAGCCCGACGCGGGGCUCGAACUCACGGACCGCGAGAUCGUGACCUGGCUGAAGUCGGACGCUUAACCGACUGCGCCACCCAGGCGCCCCNUUUUUUUUUCAAUAUAUGAAAUUUAUUGUCAAAUUGGUUUCCAUACAACACCCAGUGCUCAUCCCAAAAGGUGCCCUCCUCAAUACCCAUCACCCACCCUCCCCUCCCUCCCACCCCCCAUCAACCCUCAGUUUGUUCUCAGUUUUUAAGAGUCUCUUAUGCUUUGGCUCUCUCUCCCACUCUAACCUCUUUUUUUUUCUUUUUUUUUCCUUCCCCUCCCCCGUGGUUUUCUGUUAAGUUUCUCAGGAUCCACAUAAAAGUGAAAACAUAUGGUAUCUGUCUUUCUCUGUAUGGCUUAUUUCACUUAGCAUAACACUCUCCAGUUCCAUCCACGUUGCUACAAAGGGCCAUAUUUCAUUCUUUCUCAUUGCCACGUAGUACUCCAUUGUGUAUAUAAACCACAAUUUCUUUAUCCAUUCAUCAGUUGAUGGACAUUUAGGCUCUUUCCACAAUUUGGCUAUUGUUGAGACUGCUGCUAUAAACAUUGGGGUACAAGUGCCCCUAUGCAUCAGUACUCCUGUAUCCCUUGGGUAAAUUCCUAGCAGUGCUAUUGCUGGGUCAUAGAGUAGGUCUAUUUUUAAUUUUUUGAGGAACCUCCACACUGUUUUCCAGAGUGGCUGCACCAGUUUGCAUUCCUACCAACAGUGCAAGAUGGGGGGACAUCCUAGUUUUAAUGCCUGAUGCUGAUGGAGGCCAUUUGGGGAAACUUUGAGACCAAGGUCUUAUGACCUUCAAUGCUUCCCUGUUUCAAGUACUGAGCAUGAAUUUUGUUGUUACAUAGUCACGUGACUAUAAUUUAUUUUUUAUAAUUUGUUAUUAAUAAAUUUCCAAUUAUGGUGGUUUUGUUUGUCAAAGUUUCUAAUUUCCCUGUAUAUUUUUUAUAGAUUUAGAGGUGAUUGUGGAAUUGGAUGGAAUUCCUAUUACUGCUCCAAUGAACUACUGAUUUUGUUACUUGUUACCAGCUCACUUCUAUGGGAAUAAUCAGAAUAGUGCACUCCAGAGGUAACAUUGCAUGUUUAAUAAAAUUUAUUAUUUAUUAUUAUUUACAUUCUAUGAUUUAUCUUUAGCAAACAAAAUUACAAAUGAUUUUGAGAAUCUGUUAAUACAAACAAUGUGAGGCCUUUAUAACCUUGGUCAUCUGAGGAUUCUGUGUACUUCCCCCCGCCCCCAGAAUUUGUAUGCUUCUUCUAUUAAAUAAUAUCAGAAGAUCUUACUUGAAAGAUAGUAUUAUAUAUACUUAUGUAUAGUAAACCUCUUGUGUUGUACAUGAUACAGAUGGAUAUGUAUGCUUCUCAUUUUUCCCUAAUUUUAUUCUAUGCUAGCAGAUCAACAUGGACUAAGAACUCAGUUUCAUAU
Molecule: long non-coding RNA, 3040 nt
Filed under: Lynx pardinus (Iberian lynx)
Lineage: Eukaryota; Metazoa; Chordata; Mammalia; Carnivora; Felidae
Source: RNAcentral